Molecule: long non-coding RNA, 816 nt
Organism: Hibiscus syriacus
Lineage: Eukaryota; Viridiplantae; Streptophyta; Magnoliopsida; Malvales; Malvaceae
Exons: 4
Source: RefSeq, a predicted model, not a curated record
UCAAGCCAAACCCUAAAAAAUCUCCAAAAGUUUGAAGCUUCAUCAUCGCCCCUUCUUCAUCGAUUUACCACCCUUCCCCAUAUUUUUUUCAUUCACCGCCACUAUCAUAGGUUUCACCGUCACCUUGCUACCAAACCUCGACCCCCUCUCAUCGAGAACUAACUCUAUUUACCGUGAAUAGCCUUUGAAAACUUGUCAGAAUCGAAACAAUGCCUUCGGAUUUCUUCAAUUUUUAGUAGGUUCCGACCUUUGUUGAGCACAUUGCCCUCACCAUUGAAUUCCUCAUUCUUUUUCAAUCAAAACUCAAUUGGGUUCAUCCUUCACUAGCACUGCUUCAUCUUCGUCAUUCGACCAUUGACUUUGAAUAGGGUUACUUUUUCUGAAAAGUCAUAUUUUAGGUUUUCAACGUCUUGAGUCCAAAUUUGGAGUAUGUUUUACCAAAUUUGACAUGAUGUUUUGGGAUGUCGAAUUCAAGCGCGAGAGAAAUCGAAUGGAUUUUAGAUGGUCGAUCAGUGUAGCUCAAAACUUGAGGAAACGAGAUGGAUGAUGUGCAAAUAUGUUGCGACAGAAGUUGGGAAGCGGAGAAGUAAUGCCCAUUAGCAUAGACAGCCAAAGAAGGUAACAUCGACGAUAGUGAUUUUGUAUGUGUCUGUACAAUUAUGGGUUGACAUUUUAUAAUAAUUGAGGGGCGAUGUUACCUUGUCAAAGGGAAGAAAGGAUAACUUGAUGUUGGAAACAAUAGGAGAUAUUGAAAGAGGUUAAAAUAUUGUAUUUUCAAUGGAUAAGCAAUGAAAAUAACUUGUCCGGGUGGCUUGA